This 206-nucleotide long non-coding RNA is filed under the name Mytilus galloprovincialis (Mediterranean mussel). Lineage: Eukaryota; Metazoa; Mollusca; Bivalvia; Mytilida; Mytilidae. The record is from RNAcentral.
UUUUUUUAUAUAGAUAAGACCGUUGGUUUUCCCGUUUGAAUGGUUUUACACUAGUAAUUUUGGGGCCCGUUAUAGCUUGUUGUUCGGUGUGAGCCAAGGCUCCGUGUUGAAGGCCGUACAUUGACCUGUAAUGGUUUACUUUUAUUAAUUGUUAUUUGGAUGGAGAGUUGUCUCAUUGGCACUCACACCACAUCUUCCUAUAUCUA